UGGGGAAUAUUGGACAAUGGGGGGAACCCUGAUCCAGCCAUGCCGCGUGUGUGAAGAAGGCCUUAUGGUUGUAAAGCACUUUAAGCGAGGAGGAGGGUACUGGUAUUAAUACUACCAGGUACUGGACGUUACUCGCAGAAUAAGCACCGGCUAACUCUGUGCCAGCAGCCGCGGUAAUACAGAGGGUGCGAGCGUUAAUCGGAUUUACUGGGCGUAAAGCGUGCGUAGGCGGCUAAUUGAGUCGGAUGUGAAAUCCCCGAGCUUAACUUGGGAAUUGCAUUGGAUACUGGUUAGCUAGAGUGUGGAAGAGGAUGGUAGAAUUCCAGGUGUAGCGGUGAAAUGCGUAGAGAUCUGGAGGAAUACCGAUGGCGAAGGCAGCCAUCUGGCCUAAUACUGACGCUGAGGUACGAAAGCAUGGGGAGCAAACAGG
RNAcentral lists this ribosomal RNA (430 nucleotides) under Pseudomonadota bacterium. RNAcentral describes it as "Proteobacteria bacterium partial 16S ribosomal RNA". It matches the Rfam family "Bacterial small subunit ribosomal RNA", at positions 355 to 776 of the family's 1533-position model. The record is from RNAcentral. Lineage: Bacteria; Pseudomonadati; Pseudomonadota.